This 1536-nucleotide unclassified non-coding RNA is filed under the name Leishmania donovani. RNAcentral describes it as "gene:LdHU3.30.1620(CDS-product:Transmembrane_prot ein_putative)". Lineage: Eukaryota; Euglenozoa; Kinetoplastea; Trypanosomatida; Trypanosomatidae. The record is from RNAcentral.
AGGAGGCGCCCGCACUUCAAAACUCCGAUACAGGACAGGUGUGACAUUGCCGCACAUUCAGCGACAUCGGCUCCUCCUCUUCUGUGUCGUGCAUUGAGCGCAUCUGCGCAGCGCUCCUCCUCCGCGCGGUGCGUCAGCAGGGCGCUCACACCCCUUAGCGACUUCAAAAAAGCCCUCGCGCCUUGUUGUGAUUGUCGCUGCCCACGCAUGAUCUAAUAGGCACUCUUAGACUUUCAUACAAGUACACACAGACUCACACAUACGCACACACACGCACAUAUAUAUAUAUAUAUAUGUAUAUCCCUGCUGCAACUCACCCCCCCCCCCUGCAUACCUCUGACAAGAAGGACAAGGCAACAGAGGGAAGAAAAAAGGGGAGGGGUGGCAGACGGACUUGAUCGUAGCAGCUCCUCCAUCCUCGCCAUUCAAACAUGCCAAUCAUUUUGCACGAGGUCCGCGCCUUUCGGCGAUGCACCGCACCGUAUCUCCCACUCAUCUUCCGCAACUGGAAUCGACUGGUGCUGGUGCCGUACCGCUUAGCGAUGUGGUGCGUGCACUUUAGUACCCUGAUCUGUGUUACACGAGGCAGCGAUCGCAUGAUUCGCGUCUCCUCCCUGGCGCGCGGCUGCGCGGAGGCGGAUUACGUCUUCCUGCGACAGGUCACAAACCUGUGCCUUGCCACCAGCUUCCUCUGCUUGUUCUUCAACCUUUGGGGCGUCUUGACAACUCGCACGCUUCGCUUCGGUGUCGACAACUGGUUUCAGGGCUCCUGCCAUUGCGCGGCGGCGGUGCUGUUGAUCGUGUCGUGGCAGGCCACCGUGCACGUCGCGCGCAUCUGGCAGGUAUUUUACAUCUUUUCCAUCAUCCCCACCGGCAUCGAGGCCAUCACGCUGGCGCACUCCUACUGGAGAGGGAUGGAAUUCUUUUGGUAGGGAACGAGGUGGGCAGAGAGGGGGUCGGGGCGAGGACGGAAGAGAAGUACGCGUGCCACAACACCCUUAUCUCUCCUUGUCCGCUGCCGUGGACACAGCCGACGAGCGGUCCAAUACCGCAAAAGCUGCACUUGUGUGGUCAUCAUUUUCUGGUGCCGAUGGCCCCUUCGUGGUGGAUGAGUUGCCGCCGUCUCUGCUGCUUCUUCUUUCAGCGAUGCCACUGUCUCGCGCGUGUUGCCGAUCAAUCCUUCUGUUGCCUUGGGAGGCGGAGGGGGAGGGGCACGCGAGCAAAAGGCGCUUCUGCGUAUGUGUAGGCACGUGAAGAGGCACGCCUGUGCCUACACACGCGUGCCACCCAGAGAUGGCCCCUGCAUCCUUGGCGACUCGUCUUCACAUGCAGCUUAUCAUACGCCGCCCAUCCCCCGUCGCUCUAUGCGUCUCCCCACAUGCACAUGUAUCUUGGGUGCUCUUCGCGCGGGUCGGCGUUGUCAGCUUCGCGGGUUGAUCGGCAGCGACGGUCGUGACUCGUUACUGCGGAAACAACGCACAGAAGCCGAGAGGAAACAAGUGAAAAAAGAACAAAAGCGGUGCUGCCUUGCGUUUG